GCAGAGAGGUCACACCCGUUCCCAUACCGAACACGGAAGUUAAGCUCUCUAGCGCC
RNAcentral lists this ribosomal RNA (56 nucleotides) under Bacillus wiedmannii. Lineage: Bacteria; Bacillati; Bacillota; Bacilli; Caryophanales; Bacillaceae. The record is from RNAcentral.